AAUAUAUAUAUAUAUAUAUAUAGGUUGAAGAAAAAGUACAAAACACCCCAACAGCCGUGGGCUUUGCCCUCAAGGAUAUCCACUGCCACCUUAGAGUCCGAAUGAACAGAAACCUUUUGUAGCCCCUUUUCCUUACAAAG
This is a long non-coding RNA of Telopea speciosissima, 140 nucleotides long. RefSeq lists it as uncharacterized. The transcript has 3 exons. The record is from RefSeq and is a predicted model, not a curated record. NCBI's taxonomy places the organism in Eukaryota, Viridiplantae, Streptophyta, Magnoliopsida, Proteales, Proteaceae.